UACGUAGGUGGCGAGCGUUGUCCGGAAUUACUGGGCGUAAAGAGCGCGUAGGCGGGGAUUUAAGUCAGGAGUGAAAACUAUCGGCUCAACCGGUAGCCUGCUUUUGAAACUGAAUCUCUUGAGGGUAUGAGAGGAAAGCGGAAUUCCCAGUGUAGCGGUGAAAUGCGUAGAUAUUGGGAGGAACACCAGUGGCGAAGGCGGCUUUCUGGCAUACAACUGACGCUGAGGCGCGAAAGCGUGGGGAGCGAACGGG
This 253-nucleotide ribosomal RNA is filed under the name uncultured Thermincola sp. Its description in RNAcentral is "partial 16S ribosomal RNA". It matches the Rfam family "Bacterial small subunit ribosomal RNA", at positions 524 to 776 of the family's 1533-position model. Lineage: Bacteria; Bacillati; Bacillota; Clostridia; Eubacteriales; Thermincolaceae. The record is from RNAcentral.